RNAcentral lists this ribosomal RNA (440 nucleotides) under uncultured bacterium. Its description in RNAcentral is "partial 16S ribosomal RNA". It matches the Rfam family "Bacterial small subunit ribosomal RNA", at positions 338 to 795 of the family's 1533-position model. The record is from RNAcentral.
CCUACGGGGGGCAGCAGUGGGGAAUAUUGCACAAUGGGGGAAACCCUGAUGCAGCGACGCCGCGUGAGUGAAGAAGUAAUUCGUUAUGUAAAGCUCUAUCAGCAGGGAAGAAAAUGACGGUACCUGAGUAAGAAGCCCCGGCUAACUACGUGCCAGCAGCCGCGGUAAUACGUAGGGGGCAAGCGUGCUCCGGAUUUACUGGGUGGAAAGGGAGCGUAGACGGCAGGGCAAGUCUGGAGUGAAAGGCGGGGGCUCAACCCCCGGACUGCUCUGGAAACUGGACGGCUGGAGUGCAGGAGAGGUAAGUGGAAUUCCGAGUGGAGCGGUGAAAUGCGUAGAUAUUAGGAGGAACACCAGUGGCGAAGGCGGCUUACUGGACUGUAACUGACGUUGAGGCUCGAAAGCGUGGGGAGCAAACAGGAUUAGAUACCCUUGUAGUC